This 253-nucleotide ribosomal RNA is filed under the name uncultured bacterium. RNAcentral describes it as "partial 16S ribosomal RNA". It matches the Rfam family "Bacterial small subunit ribosomal RNA", at positions 524 to 776 of the family's 1533-position model. The record is from RNAcentral.
UACGUAGGGUGCGAGCGUUAAUCGGAAUUACUGGGCGUAAAGCGCACGUAGGCGGUUUGUUAUGUCGGAUGUGAAAGCCCUUGGCUCAACUGAGGAAGUGCAUCCGAAACUGGCAAGCUAGAGUACUAAAGAGGGUCGCGGAAUUCCCGGUGUAGAGGUGAAAUUCGUAGAUAUCGGGAGGAACACCGGUGGCGAAGGCGGCGACCUGGGUAGAUACUGACGCUGAGGUGCGAAAGCGUGGGGAGCAAACAGG